Acanthosepion pharaonis is the source of this 112-nucleotide non-coding RNA. The record is from the annotation of a GenBank genome assembly. NCBI's taxonomy places the organism in Eukaryota, Metazoa, Mollusca, Cephalopoda, Sepiida, Sepiidae.
UUACGGCCAUAUCACGUUGAAACACCGGUUCACGUAUAAUCAAUGAAGUUAAGCAACGUCAAGCCUUGUCAGUACUAAGAUAGAUGAUCGCUUGUGAACAUCAGGUGCCGUA